Sarcophilus harrisii (Tasmanian devil) is the source of this 4846-nucleotide long non-coding RNA. NCBI's taxonomy places the organism in Eukaryota, Metazoa, Chordata, Mammalia, Dasyuromorphia, Dasyuridae. The record is from Ensembl.
AUAGGGAUUCCACAUGGUUGUCUGCCCCAUGUGUGAUGAUCCUUGAUCCAGCCCUAUACACAGAAAAUUCACUCUCCCCACAGUCAUCCAACAAGGUAACCCUCUGUUCCAGGGUAAACUCCAUCAUGCACCUGUAGUGCCUCACUUUGUAGCCCAGGGAUGGAGUCUUCAUUUUAGCUCCCUUUUCUAAUAUGCUUUUCUUCCACUUGAUUUCUGCAAGUUUUUUCUUAUUCUGUACAUUGGACCUCCACAUUAGCCCCUCAGUGUGGUCUAAAUAUUUCUCAUUCAUUCUCACCCAUAGGCUCUCAGUUUGGAACCACUUCUUUGUUAUAAGGAGUUGACAUCCCACCUUUACUAAUUGGGAUUCCACAUGGUUGUCUGCCCCAUGUGGAAUCCUAUUGGUUCAAGUCCCAUAGCAAAGAAAAUGCCCAUUUCCCACAGUGAUCCAAAAAGGUUACCUUGACUGCCAGGGUAAAUACUAUGAUACACCAGACUGCCUCACCUCAUAGCCCAGGUAUGGGGACUUGACUUUUGCCCCCUUUUCUAAUAUCCUCUUCUCCAUUUUAAUUUCUGUGCAGGCUUUCUUAAACUGUUCAUUGGCCUCCUACUCUGUCCCUCAGUGUACUGAUAAAGGUUUCUCAUUUAUUUUUCUCCUGUAGGGUCCCCAGUUUGUAGCCACUUCUUUGUAAUAUGGGGCUUACAUGCCACCAUAAUCAAGGGGAAUUCCAUAUGGUUUCCUUGGCCAUGUGGAAUAUUGUCGGUGACAGUCCCAUGGCAAAGAAAAUUCACUAUUUCCACAGCCAUCCAACAAGGUAACCCUGUGUUCCAGGGUAAACUCCAUCAUGCACCGUAGUGCCUCACCUCACAGCCCAGGGGUACAGCUAUGGAGCUUGAAGAGACACAGUGAGAGAGAAACAAAAUCCACUGCAUAGACCCUCAUUUGUUAGCCCUUCCAAUCACAGAUAAAGGCCUUGUUUCUAUUUCCUACCCAUUCUCUGGCAGGAAGGGCUUCUAGUCUACUGGCUUUCAGGUUUAAUGUAUAUGGAAUACCACCCCCACCUCUUUUGCUCCUUUCCUAGGCCUUCUAGAUCUUAAAAUCACUUAAUGCAGAGCCAGUUCAAAUGGGAGCCUCUCUGCCUUGGGAGUUAUCCCUUUUCAUUCAUAGAUACUCACCCCUAAGCACUGAGGUUUGCAAACUCACUUAUUCUCUGGAGACCAAACAGGGUCAUGAUUUCUACUUAGAGGAAAAGACUUUUCUCAGCAUUUCUAUUCCAAGCCUUCUGCCAGUGUAUGAUUAAGGAUUCAUCUGCUAUUCUCCAUAGGAAGGUUGUCCCUGUUUGUUUGCCAUUGCUAGUAAGAACUGGCCUUACAGUGGGACCAAGUUAGAAUGAGCAUCAUACCCCAGCUUCAUGUCAGUCCUCCUGGCAUUUGCUCCACAGUAAAAAACCAGACGUUGGGUCACCAGUCAGUUCCAUGCUGCCCUGGUCUGCCAGGGGAAGCAGCAGUUCACCCAGAGGGCCCCACUCUGACCCCAGAGAUGGGGCCCAACAAGCUAUCUUGCUCUCUGAGACCAAGGAGGGUCUUGAUAUUCAGUCAGAGGGCAGGUCUUUCCUUUCUAUUGGUCAGUGGCCAGGAUUUCAGUUUUAUAUGGCUGUAGGUUGACAGCCACUUCCCAGAGGCAGGGCCCCUGGUUUCUUUCUAAUACUUGGCCAAUCAGAGCAUUCUUUCCACCAAGGGCAAAGCUGAAGGAGCAUUGUAUUGCAGGCCAAUGGAUAUUGUUCCUUUUUGGGACCCUGUAGCCAAGUAGACUCACUGCAACCACAAACCACCUUUCAUUGCUGGGGAAGGUGCCACAUUGUACCUGUAAACCUCUCUGCCCACCUGGAGCAGCAGGGAUACUUGCUAAUCAGCUAUCUCACUAUCCUCUUGCAUACUCCAAUACCUCAUGCAAUAGUCUUGUUGCUCUUUUGCUCCAAUCACAUAAUACUCAGAGCAGAGAUAAAGUCUUGUCAGCCAUUCUUCACCUAUAGGGCCCUCAGAUUUGUACCCACUUCUCUGUUACAUGGGGCUUCCAUGCCAUUAUCAUCAAGGACUCUACAGGGUUCUCUGCCCCAUGUGUGAUAUUUCUUGACCUAGCCCCAUAGCAAAGGAAAUUCACUCUUCCAAUAGUCAUUGAAAAGGGAACCCUGUCUGACAGGAUAAAUACCACCAUGUACCCGUAAUGUCUCACCUUGCAGCCCAGUGUUGGAGACAUGUUUUCUAUUUCAGCAGUGUAUGGCUAUAGAUUGGUCAGCCAUUUCCCAGUGGCAGGAUUCCUGAUUUCUUUCCAAUAGUUGGUUACUCAGGGCAUCCUUUUUACUCAGGGCAAGGGUGAAGGAGCACUGGGUUGAAGGCUAAUGGAAGUUGCUCUUUCCUGAUACCCUUUAAGAAGGAAACUCACUGUUACCUAAGUUCUUUCAUUGCAACUUCAUUUUUCAAGCAAAUUUUUGUGUUGCCUAUCUUUUUAAGGUUAUGAAUUAAUUUUUCAUUAUGAUAUUUUCCACUAAAUGUUACUUCCUUUAAUUACUCUUUUUUCUUCAUUAAUUUUGAUUGUUGUUUGAAGUUUCUGGCAUUUAUCUAUUAUCUCAUUCUUAUAAUUUGGCCUUUUUCUUUUAGUCCCAUUGAACCAUGCCUUUUCAUACUUAAAUAUAAUAAGCUGUUAACUUUCUAAUUUUAUGUCACUGCCUUACUCAUUGGUUAAAAUGAUCAGGUUGAUGAUAAAUGCUUAACAAAUAUUUUUUAAAAUUUGCAUUGUUUUGGCAUAGAACCAGUCCCUAGGACUCGGGAGAAUCUGUGUCCCAAUGUGGCUGAUCUUACCAGAUCUGUGACUGUGGGCAAGUGAUUAAAACCGCUUUGUUUCCAAAAAAAAGAAAAAGAAAAAAGAAAAGAAAAGCAAUUUUGAAUAGUUCAAAUAUUUAUCUAUUUUCUUUUUCAUUUUCCUUUUUGAGUAAUAAAAAAUAUCUGAUUUGUAGUAAUAGUAGUUAAAAUUGUACAAUCUGUUUCAAAUGUUACAGUAAUUCCAAUAGCCUCACAAGUUCCUCAUUCUCUUAUGACAAUAUUGGAGGCAUAUUUCAUUCUUUCACCUCUAGAAUUGUUUUUGUUGUUUUCAAUUAUCUUAAUUCAGGUUUAUCUUUUGUUUUUUUCCUCCCAUCUUUUCAUUUCCCCAAACUUCUGCUAAAUUCACCUGUAUUUAUCUCAUAUAAAUCUUUAAAUGGUGUUCAUCUUUAUAGUCAUUUUUUCCCCGGAUAUAAUACAUCUUUUAUUUCAACACAAUGCAACCUUUGUUUUAGUUCAAUUUUAUUAGCAUAGUAUUAACACUGAUUUGUUUUGCCAUAUUUUUAGAUUCACGAGCAUGGGUGGGUUGUUUCCAUUUCUUUGCUACAAAGUAUAUUUACCUCACCUAAUUCAAUUUAACAGGAAUUAUUUUUGAUACUCCCCCAUUUUACAGAUGACAAAAUUCAAGUGUUGAGAAUUCCAAAAUUUUGUUGGACUGGCAUAAACGAAUGCUUUGGGACUAUUCAUUUCAUUGGGAGCCUAGAAAAAUGGAAUUGGGAGACUUUGGCAUGUCAAUGUUCAACUGAAGUUUCCCGAGAUCUAAGUUCUAUGAGCUCAGCUAUGUUAAAUAGUCCUACUUCAGGAGAAGACAGCAUCUAAACCAUCCCAGUCCUUUUUCAUCUUAUUGGGCAAGAGGCCUUAUAACCUCUCGGAAAAACUUUUUUCACAAUGUUUUACAAACUUAAUUGUUGAUAACAUUGUUUUUUGUUCUAAAUAUCCUCAAACCAGUUCCCUUCAUAUUCUUCUUCAAAAUGGAGAUGUAGAUUUGUGAAAUACAUCUUCCUAAAUUUCAAUUUCAAGAACAAAUUAUUCCUCAGCAUUUUCUUCUCCAGACUAAACAAGGCCCAUCAUCUUUUAAAACAAACAAACAAACAAACCCGGUGCUGUUCUCAUGUUCUCAUGCUUCUUCAAAAUAAAGGCCCACACAAAAAAAGUAAUUUUUCACCUCUGAAUAAGGCCUAAUCAAUAUGGAAUAUAGUUGAGAAAGCCUUCCUUUCUAGCUUUUGCAUGUGGCAAUGUAGUAUGCGCUUAAUGGUUUGCACAUAGUAGGUACUUAAUAAUAAACAUUGCACGGAGUAGGUGCUUUCAAAUAUUGCACAUAGUAGGCAUUUAAUAAAUUGCACAGAGUAGGUGCUUAAUCAGUGUUUGUUAAAUUGAGAGAAAACAUCUUUCCCUCGUAGUACCUCACAUGGCACUUUGUUUUCACUUCUUUCACAAUUCUUGCUGUCUUUUUAAAAAAUCAUAGUUAUUUGCAUUUGUAUCAUAUCUUUAUUGUAAACUUCUUGAGGGCAAAGAACUAUCUGUCUAAUCUACCAAGCAAAUUGUUCUGCUAUAUAAAUGCUACUAUAUUGCUUAAUCAAUGUUUAAUUUUUGAUUUGAGUAGAAUUGUUUCCUUGUUGAUGCAUCUCUAACAUCAUGUUAGGAUGCCUGUACUGCACGAUUAGCACCUUAUUAUAUAUUAUCCUGUUGUAUCUUAUAGCAUUAUUUUGAGAGAAGGAAAAGCUUCAUAUACUAUAAAACAUUGUAUUCAUGCUAUUAUUGUUACUAUGACAUUGUUAUUUUCUAGUUGCUUUUAUUAUAUAAUUUAGCACUUUAUUGUAUUAGUAUAUAGUGCUUUCUUAUUAUCUACUAAUGUUAUUUUGUGUGUAUAUCCCAUUUUCCCAACUAGAUUGUAAACAUAAGGUAGGCAAUGGCUAUGCAUAACUUGUAAAUCGUAUGUACUCAAUAAAUGCUUAAUGAAUGAUGAUCUGGC